Molecule: long non-coding RNA, 201 nt
Filed under: Homo sapiens (human)
Lineage: Eukaryota; Metazoa; Chordata; Mammalia; Primates; Hominidae
Description: HSALNT0227081
Source: RNAcentral
UGUCCGCUGCAGGCGGGCGAGUCGCGACGUUUGUAAAUUGCAAACAGACCCACGUGGUUCUGCAGCAGUCCCGGCCAUGCUUGGUGCUGGUGGCCUUCCCCCCCGCGCUUCCUCUUUCCCCCUCCUGCGGCGGCUUCCUUCCUCUCCUUCCUUCCUCGGGAUCUGAGGUCGUCCCCAUCCAAGGGGGUCUGGGGGCCCGGG